RNAcentral lists this ribosomal RNA (1350 nucleotides) under uncultured bacterium. Its description in RNAcentral is "bacterial SSU rRNA". It matches the Rfam family "Bacterial small subunit ribosomal RNA", at positions 23 to 1365 of the family's 1533-position model. The record is from RNAcentral.
CUCAGGAUGAACGCUAGCGGCAGGCUUAACACAUGCAAGUCGAGGGGCAUCGGGAGGGAAGCUUGCUUUCCUUGCCGGCGACCGGCGCACGGGUGAGUAACACGUAUGCAACCUGCCCUCUUCAGGGGGACAACCUUCCGAAAGGGAGGCUAAUCCCGCGUAUAUCGGUUUCGGGCAUCCGAGAUCGAGGAAAGAUUCAUCGGAAGAGGAUGGGCAUGCGGCGCAUUAGCUAGACGGCGGGGUAACGGCCCACCGUGGCGACGAUGCGUAGGGGUUCUGAGAGGAAGGUCCCCCACACUGGUACUGAGACACGGACCAGACUCCUACGGGAGGCAGCAGUGAGGAAUAUUGGUCAAUGGGAGAGAUCCUGAACCAGCCAAGCCGCGUGAGGGAAGACGGCCCUAUGGGUUGUAAACCUCUUUUGUCGGAGAACAAAACCCGGGACGUGUCCCGGACUGCGUGUAUCCGAAAAAAAAGCAUCGGCUAACUCCGUGCCAGCAGCCGCGGUAAUACGGAGGAUGCGAGCGUUAUCCGGAUUUAUUGGGUUUAAAGGGUGCGUAGGCGGUCUGUUAAGUCAGCGGUAAAAUUGCGGGGCUCAACCCCGUCGAGCCGUUGAAACUGGCAGACUUGAGUUGGCGAGAAGUACGCGGAAUGCGCGGUGUAGCGGUGAAAAUGCAUAGAUAUCGCGCAGAACUCCGAUUGCGAAGGCAGCGUACCGGCGCCAGACUGACGCUGAGGCACGAAAGCGUGGGGAUCGAACAGGAUUAGAUACCCUGGUAGUCCACGCAGUAAACGAUGAAUGCUGGUUGUCCGGGUCGAAUGAGAUCUGGGCGGCGAAGCGAAAGCGAUAAGCAUUCCACCUGGGGAGUACGCCGGCAACGGUGAAACUCAAAGGAAUUGACGGGGGCCCGCACAAGCGGAGGAACAUGUGGUUUAAUUCGAUGAUACGCGAGGAACCUUACCCGGGCUCAAACGGGAGUGGAAUGGACCAGAGACGGUUCAGCCUACGGGCCGCUUCCGAGGUGCUGCAUGGUUGUCGUCAGCUCGUGCCGUGAGGUGUCGGCUUAAGUGCCAUAACGAGCGCAACCCCCGCCGGCAGUUGCUAACGGGCAAUGCCGAGGACUCUGCCGGGACUGCCGCCGCAAGGCGUGAGGAAGGCGGGGAUGACGUCAAAUCAGCACGGCCCUUACGUCCGGGGCGACACACGUGUUACAAUGGGCGGUACAGCGGGAAGCCAGGCGGCGACGCCGAGCGGAACCCGAAAGCCGUUCUCAGUUCGGAUCGGAGUCUGCAACCCGACUCCGUGAAGCUGGAUUCGCUAGUAAUCGCGCAUCAGCCAUGGCGCGGUGA